GCCCCGGCGUGGAUAAGACAUGCAAGUCGAACGGUUGGCAAGCGGUAGCAAUACGGCUUGUCGAUAGUGGCGAAAGGGGGCGUAACACGUGGGCAAUUUACCGCGAAGACUGGAAUAACCUGCCGAAAGGUAGGCUAAUACCGGAAGUGGUCCUCCAGGGGAAUCCUUGGUGGACUAAAGGUUAAAGGUGGGGAUCUUCGGACCUGCCGCUUCAUGAUAAGCCCGCGGCCUAUCAGCUUGUUGGUGAGGUAAAAGCUCACCAAGGCUAAGACGGGUAACUGGUCUGAGAGGACGGUCGGUCACACUGGAACUGAGACACGGUCCAGACACCUACGGGUGGCAGCAGUCGAGAAUCAUUCACAAUGGGCGAAAGCCUGAUGGUGCGACGCCGCGUGGGGGAUGAAGUGCUUCGGUAUGUAAACCCCUGUCAUCUGCGAGCAAACCUUUUCGGUUAACACCUGGAAAGCUGAUAGUAGCAGAAGAGGAAGGGACGGCUAACUCUGUGCCAGCAGCCGCGGUAAUACAGAGGUCCCAAGCGUUGUUCGGAUUCACUGGGCGUAAAGGGUGCGUAGGUGGCAAGGUAAGUUUGAUGUGAAAUCUCCGAGCUUAACUCGGAAACUGCAUUGGAUACUGCCUGGCUAGAGGAUUGGAGGGGGGACUGGAAUUCUCGGUGUAGCGGUGAAAUGCGUAGAUAUCGAGAGGAACACCAGUGGCGAAGGCGAGUCCCUGGACAAUUCCUGACACUGAGGCACGAAAGCUAGGGUAGCAAACAGGAUUAGAUACCCUGGUAGUCCUAGCCGUAAACGGUGCACGCUUGCUGUGGGAGGAUUCGACCCCUUCCGUGGCGAAGCUAACGCGUUAAGCGUGCCGCCUGGGGAGUACGGUCGCAAGAUUAAAACUCAAAGAAAUUGACGGGGGCCUGCACAAGCGGUGGAGUAUGUGGCUUAAUUCGAUGCAACGCGAAGAACCUUACCUGGCCUUGACAUGCAAGUGGUAGGAACCUGAAAGGGUAACGACCUAGCAAUAGUAGCUUGCACAGGUGCUGCAUGGCUGUCGUCAGCUCGUGUCGUGAGAUGUUGGGUUAAGUCCCGCAACGAGCGCAACCCUUGUGUCCUGUUGCCACUUCCGCGAGAGCGGGAAGCACUCUGGACAGACUGCCUCAUUUAAAUGAGGAGGAAGGUGGGGAUGACGUCAAGUCAGUAUGGCCCUUACGGCCAGGGCUGCACACGUACUACAAUGCCUGGCACAACGGGAAGCAAGACCGCAAGGUGGAGCAAAUCCCUUAAAACCAGGCCCAGUUCGGAUUGUCGUCUGCAACUCGACGGCAUGAAGGUGGAAUCGCUAGUAAUGGCGCAUCAGCUACGGCGCCGUGAAUACGUUCCCAGGCCUUGUACACACCGCCCGUCACAUCAUGAAAGUCAGCUGUACCCGAAGUCACUGAGCCAACCGCAAGGGGGCAGGUGGGCAGGCGCCGAAGGUAUGGCCUGGG
This 1489-nucleotide ribosomal RNA is filed under the name uncultured prokaryote. RNAcentral's name for it is "partial 16S ribosomal RNA". It matches the Rfam family "Bacterial small subunit ribosomal RNA". The record is from RNAcentral.